GUGCUAUACAUGCAGUCGAGCGGAGUUUAUCGGGAGCUUGCUCCUGAUAAACUUAGCGGCGGACGGGUGAGUAACACGUAGGCAACCUGCCCGUAAGACUGGGAUAACUACCGGAAACGGUAGCUAAUACCGGAUACGCAAGUCUCUCGCAUGAGGGGCUUGGGAAAGGCGGAGCAAUCUGUCACUUACGGAUGGGCCUGCGGCGCAUUAGCUAGUUGGUGGGGUAACGGCUCACCAAGGCGACGAUGCGUAGCCGACCUGAGAGGGUGAACGGCCACACUGGGACUGAGACACGGCCCAGACUCCUACGGGAGGCAGCAGUAGGGAAUCUUCCGCAAUGGACGAAAGUCUGACGGAGCAACGCCGCGUGAGUGAUGAAGGUUUUCGGAUCGUAAAGCUCUGUUGCCAGGGAAGAACGUCCGUUAGAGUGACUGCUAACGCACCGACGGUACCUGAGAAGAAAGCCCGGGCUAACUACGUGCCAGCAGCCGCGGUAAUACGUAGGGGGCGAGCGUUGUCCGGAAUUAUUGGGCGUGAGGCGCGCGCAGGCGGCUGUUUAAGUCUGGUGUUUAAUCCUGGGGCUCACCCCCGGGUCGCACUGUAAACUGGACAGCUUGAGUGCAGAAGGGGAGAGUGCAAUUCCACGUGUAGCGUGAAAUGCGUAGAGAUGUGAAGGAACACCAGUGUCGAAGGCGACUCUCUGGGCUGUAACUGACGCUGAGGCGCGAAAGCGUGGGGAGCAAACAGGAUUAGAUACCCUGUAGUCCACGCCGAAACGAUGAAUGCUAGGUGUUAGGGUUUCGAUACCCUUGGUGCCGAAGUAACACUUAAUCAUUCCGCCUGGGGAGACGGCCCCAAGGAUAAAACUCAAAGGAAUUGACGCGGGCCCGCGCAAGCUUGCACAAUGUGGUUUAAUACAAAGCACGCCCAAAAACUUACCCGGGGUUGAGUCCCCUGAGAGGGGAGAAAUU
This 971-nucleotide ribosomal RNA is filed under the name Pseudoxanthomonas taiwanensis. RNAcentral describes it as "bacterial SSU rRNA". It matches the Rfam family "Bacterial small subunit ribosomal RNA", at positions 44 to 1008 of the family's 1533-position model. The record is from RNAcentral. Lineage: Bacteria; Pseudomonadati; Pseudomonadota; Gammaproteobacteria; Lysobacterales; Lysobacteraceae.